GGCGGCAUAGUAUAGCACUGGCUGCCCACUGAAGUUUUUUAAAGGGCCGCGGUAAUUUGACCGUGCGAAGGUAGCAUAAUCAAUAGUCUCUUAAUUGGGGGCUGGAAUGAAUGGUCGGACAAAGAGUUAGCUGUCUUUUUCGCGUUUUUUGAAGUUUACUUUUAAGUGAAAAGGCUUAAAUGUGUUCGGGGGACGAUAAGACCCUAUAAAACUUUACAGGUAAGCUUAUGUUUCUUGAAUUAAAGUUUAAUAACAACUAUAAGUUACCUGUUAUGUUGGGGCGACAAUGAUAUAAUAUGUAACUGUCAUGUAAAUCAAAUAACAAUAAUUAGUUUAGUUGAUCCUCUAUUAAAGAUUAAAAGAUCAAGUUACUUUAGGGAUAACAGCGUAAUUUUCUCUGAGAGUCCUUAUCGACGAGAGUAGUUGCGACCUCGAUGUUGAAUUAAGAUUUCUCCUAAGUGUAGCAGCUUGGUAAGUGGGUCUGUUCGACCCUAAAAAUCUUACGUGAUCUGAGUCCAGACCGGA
Molecule: ribosomal RNA, 525 nt
Filed under: Plesionika semilaevis
Lineage: Eukaryota; Metazoa; Arthropoda; Malacostraca; Decapoda; Pandalidae
Description: partial large subunit ribosomal RNA
Rfam family: Bacterial large subunit ribosomal RNA
Source: RNAcentral